Molecule: long non-coding RNA, 1225 nt
Filed under: Pogona vitticeps (central bearded dragon)
Lineage: Eukaryota; Metazoa; Chordata; Lepidosauria; Squamata; Agamidae
Description: lncRNA (ENSPVIG00000012076.1)
Source: RNAcentral
AUGACCUUUUGUCUUAAAAAUUCUAAACAUUCACUCCUAUCUUUAUUCUCCUUUGUUUUCUUCAUUUGCAGUGAAGAAAGAUACAGAGAGUAUUUUGGAAGAAGAAACAAAGAUGGGAUUUUUUUGAAUCCAGUAUGGUUCUUUCCUGGCAGCCUUGACAUGAAAAUCAGUCCUGAAUCUACAAAUGCCGCAACAACUAAAAGUGCCACUACGCAAGAGAAAUAAAAUGCACACAAACAAACCAAUCCAGCAUGAUUUUUGUUUAGCGCUGCGGGCUAAACCGCAGAAGCUUGUGCUGCAGGGUCAGAAGACCAAGCAGUCGUAAGAUCGAAUCCACACAAUGGAGUGAGCUCCUGUUGCUUGUCCCAGCUCCCACCAACCUAGCGGUUCGAAAGCAUGCAAAUGCAAGUAGAUAAAUAGGGACCACUUCGGUGGGAAGGUAACAGCGAUCCGUGUCUAAGUCUCACUGGCUAUGUGACCACGGAAGAUUGUCUUCGGACAAACGCUGGCUCUAUGGCUUGAAGAGCGGGAUGAGCUCCGCCCCCUAGAGUCGAACACGACUGGACAAAAAAUGUCAAGGGGAACCUUUACCUUUACCCUAGCAAAAAAUAUGAAGAAAUCAGCAUUUUACAGCACGUGGGAGAACAUUAUCCCCUGAUAAUUCUGAAGACCAAUCUAACCUACUGUUAAAAGUAAUUUUUCCAAAAAAUGAAAAUCUCUGGCAUACUUAAUUUUUUUUGUCAAGUCGCCUUUGCCUUAUGAUGACCCUAUGAGUGAGCACCCUCAACAGCCCUGCUCAGCACUUGUGAGCUGAAACCUGUUGGCAUACUUAAUUUUUUUUGUCAAGUCGCCUUUGCCUUAUGAUGACCCUAUGAGUGAGCACUCGCGAAAAUGCCUUGUCCUCAACAGCCCUGCUCAGCACUUGUGAGCUGAAACCUGUUGUUCUUUUAGGGAGUCAGUCCAUCACGUAUUUAGUCUUCCUCUUUUCCUGCUGAAUUCCAUUUUCCCCAGCAUUAUUAUCUCUUCCAGAGAAUCUUGCCUUCUCGUGAUAUGCCCAUAGUAGCACAGCCUCAGUUUCAGCAUUUUUGCCUCCAGAGAUAGUUCAGGCUUGAUUUUAUCUAGGACCCACUUGUUCAUCAUUCUGGGCAGUCCAAGUUAUCUGCAGAACUCUCCCCUGGGACUUCAUUUCAAACAAAUCAUUUUUGUUUCCUGUCAGCUUUCUUUC